Molecule: ribosomal RNA, 490 nt
Filed under: uncultured bacterium
Lineage: Bacteria
Description: partial 16S ribosomal RNA
Rfam family: Bacterial small subunit ribosomal RNA
Source: RNAcentral
AGUGAACGCUGGCGGUAGGCCUAACACAUGCAAGUCGAACGGCAGCACAGUAAGAGCUUGCUCUUACGGGUGGCGAGUGGCGGACGGGUGAGGAAUACAUCGGAAUCUACUUUUUCGUGGGGGAUAACGUAGGGAAACUUACGCUAAUACCGCAUACGACCUACGGGUGAAAGCAGGGGAUCUUCGGACCUUGCGCGAUUGAAUGAGCCGAUGUCGGAUUAGCUAGUUGGCGGGGUAAAGGCCCACCAAGGCGACGAUCCGUAGCUGGUCUGAGAGGAUGAACAGCCACUCUGACCUAGGAACCGGUCAGACUUCCAAGGGGAGGAGGCGGUGGGGAAUUUGGACCAAUGGGGGAAAGCUUGUUCAGGCCAAACGGGGUGGGUGAGGAAGGCCUUCGGGUUGUAAAGCCCUUUUGUUGGGAAAAAAAGCCGGAAGGUUAAUACCCCGCUGUUCUGAGGGUACCAAAAGAAUAAGCACCGGCUAACUUCGU